AUUUAUGUAGUUUAUAAAACAUUUUAUUUUCAUUAAAAAAAAGGUAAAAUUAACCCUUAAAUG
Molecule: transfer RNA, 63 nt
Filed under: Bothrogonia tongmaiana
Lineage: Eukaryota; Metazoa; Arthropoda; Insecta; Hemiptera; Cicadellidae
Also listed under: 1 other name
Description: tRNA-Glu
Source: RNAcentral